AGGGAAUGACUGUAGUUCAGUUGUAGAGCAUAUGCUUUGCAUGCAGAAGGUCCCGGGUUCAAUCCUCAGCAGCUCUA
Non-coding RNA from Podarcis lilfordi (Lilford's wall lizard), 77 nucleotides. NCBI's taxonomy places the organism in Eukaryota, Metazoa, Chordata, Lepidosauria, Squamata, Lacertidae. The record is from the annotation of a GenBank genome assembly.